RNAcentral lists this ribosomal RNA (364 nucleotides) under uncultured Anoxybacillus sp. Its description in RNAcentral is "bacterial SSU rRNA". It matches the Rfam family "Bacterial small subunit ribosomal RNA", at positions 1016 to 1382 of the family's 1533-position model. Lineage: Bacteria; Bacillati; Bacillota; Bacilli; Caryophanales; Anoxybacillaceae. The record is from RNAcentral.
UUCGGGGGACGAGGGUGACAGGUGGUGCAUGGUUGUCGUCAGCUCGUGUCGUGAGAUGUUGGGUUAAGUCCCGCAACGAGCGCAACCCUCGACCUUAGUUGCCAGCAUUCAGUUGGGCACUCUAAGGUGACUGCCGGCUAAAAGUCGGAGGAAGGUGGGGAUGACGUCAAAUCAUCAUGCCCCUUAUGACCUGGGCUACACACGUGCUACAAUGGGCGGUACAAAGGGUCGCGAACCCGCGAGGGGGAGCCAAUCCCAAAAAGCCGCUCUCAGUUCGGAUUGCAGGCUGCAACUCGCCUGCAUGAAGUCGGAAUCGCUAGUAAUCGCAGGUCAGCAUACUGCGGUGAAUACGUUCCCGGGCCUU